This is a long non-coding RNA of Camellia sinensis, 863 nucleotides long. RefSeq lists it as uncharacterized. Lineage: Eukaryota; Viridiplantae; Streptophyta; Magnoliopsida; Ericales; Theaceae. The record is from RefSeq and is a predicted model, not a curated record.
CUGAAGUUGAGUCAUCCAUGUUCCUGCUGGUUGGAUUCUGAUAUCUUAUGCAUGAUGAUAGAGAUGGUAGUAGCUGGGUUGGAGAAAGAGGAUGUACAACACUGUCGUGUAUCAGUUGGAAUUCGAAGGACUUGAGUUUCACCUGUAAUUCAGUUCCUGGAAAUUUUCUCAAAGUGUUUUGGCAGCAGGAUUUGGUAAUGCUAUGAAAAAUUUAAUAUCGACUUACCGUUAGUCUGGUCACAAGAGUGGAGCUUCCAAUGCUGCACUUGACUGGAAAUUUGAUAAUUUUCUCUGAAGUCUCUGUUGGACCAGCAUAUUUGGUGAUAUCCAUUCUAAAUUUGGCCAAAACUGAUGCUCUGUUGUCUGAUUCCAAACCUAAGCCCUGGUGAGAUACUCAACUUUGGCAUCUGGAGUUCUAGAGUUUUGCAGAGGAGUGUCUGAUCUUUUUUGUUCAUACUGCCUGAGGAGAUGAUCAGUGGGUUCCCAGGCAUGACUAAACCAGGUCCAGUCCACGCUCCUGGACUCUUUAUUUAUCAUUGGACUAGACGAGUCCAGUCCACACUCCGUUCCGGUCCAGGAACAUUUUAAAAAACAAUUUAUAUAAAAUUUUGGAGGAGUUACAGCCGGUCCUAUAAGCCAGUUUUAUUAUCCAACAAGUUCUAUUCAAAAAAAUCAAAGUGUUUUUUAUUUUUAUCCUUAGACUCAACACUGUUACUCUAAAAUUUCAGUGAUAAAUUCACAAAAACAAACUUAUCACUGGUUUAAACAAAUUUAUUACUAGUUUAAAUAAAUUUAUUACUGGUUUAAAUAGAUUUAUCACUAGGAUCUUCUCCCAAUAUACAAAGAGAGAGAGAGAGAGAGAG